RNAcentral lists this unclassified non-coding RNA (323 nucleotides) under soil metagenome. Its description in RNAcentral is "partial contains 5.8S ribosomal RNA, internal transcribed spacer 2, and large subunit ribosomal RNA". The stretch from base 1 to 120 matches the Rfam family "5.8S ribosomal RNA", at positions 35 to 154 of the family's 154-position model. The record is from RNAcentral.
GAUGAAGAACGUAGCGAAAUGCGAUAAGUAAUGCGAAUUGCAGAAUUCAGUGAGUCAUCGAAUCUUUGAACGCACAUUGCGCCCUGUGGUAUUCCGCAGGGCAGGCCUGUUCGAGCGUCAUUUCAACCCUCAAGCUCUGCUUGGUGUUGGGCCCUGCCCGCUGCGGCCGGCCCUAAAGACAGUGGCGGUGCCGCCUGGCCCUGAGCGUAGUACAUCUCUCGCUCCAGUGCCCGGUGGUAGCCUGCCAGAACCCCAACUCUCGUGGUUGACCUCGGAUCAGGUAGGGAUACCCGCUGAACUUAAGCAUAUCAAUAAGCGGAGGA